GAGUCGAGAGGGUUCGGCCCUCGGCUGACGGCUCAGUAACACGUGGAUAAUCUGCCCUUAGGUGGAGGAUAAUCUCGGGAAACUGAGGACAAUACUCCAUAGGUUUAGGAGGCUGGAAUGCAUCUAGACUGAAAGCUCCGGCGCCUAAGGAUGAGUCUGCGGACUAUCAGGUAGUAGUCAGGGUAAAGACCUGACUAGCCUACGACGGAUACGGGUUGUGAGAGCAAUAACCCGGAGACGAUAUCUGAGACACGAUAUCGGGCCCUACGGGGCGCAGCAGGCGCGAAAACUUCACACUGUGCGAAAGCACGAUGAGGGAAUCCCAAGUGCUUGCUCGUAAGAGUAAGCUGUUUCUCUGUCUAAAACGCAGAGAGAGUAAGAGCUGGGUAAGACGGGUGCCAGCCGCCGCGGUAAUACCUGCAGCUCAAGUGGUGGCCGCUAUUAUUGGGCCUAAAACGUCCGUAGCCGGUUUAGUAAAUGCCUGGGUAAAUCGUGUAGCUUAACUAUACGAAUUCCGGGUAGACUGCUAAACUUGAGACCGGGAGAAGCCAGAGGUACUCCUAGGGUAGAGGUGAAAUUCUGUAAUCCUAGGGGGACCACCAGUGGCGAAGGCGUCUAGCUAGAACGGGUCUGACGGUGAGGGACGAAACCCUGGGGCGCAAACCGGAUUAGAUACCCGGGUAGUCCAGGGCGUAAACGCUGCUUGCUUGAUGUUAGUUGGGCUCCGAGCCCAAUUAGUGUCGGAGAGAAGUUGUUAAGCAAGCUGCCU
RNAcentral lists this ribosomal RNA (769 nucleotides) under uncultured archaeon. RNAcentral's name for it is "bacterial SSU rRNA". It matches the Rfam family "Archaeal small subunit ribosomal RNA", at positions 55 to 829 of the family's 1478-position model. The record is from RNAcentral.